GAUGAACGCUGGCGGCGUGCCUAAUACAUGCAAGUCGAGCGAACGGACGAGAAGCUUGCUUCUCUGAUGUUAGCGGCGGACGGGUGAGUAACACGUGGAUAACCUACCUAUAAGACUGGGAUAACUUCGGGAAACCGUAGCUAAUACCGGAUAAUAUUUUGAACCGCAUGGUUCAAAAGUGAAAGACGGUCUUGCUGUCACUUAUAGAUGGAUCCGCGCUGCAUUAGCUAGUUGGUAAGGUAACGGCUUACCAAGGCAACGAUGCAUAGCCGACCUGAGAGGGUGAUCGGCCACACGGGAACUGAGACACGGUCCAGACUCCUACGGGAGGCAGCAGUAGGGAAUCUUCGGCAAUGGGCGAAAGCCUUACGGAGCAACGCCGCGUGAGUGAUAAAAGUCUUCGGAUCGUAAAACUCUGUUAUUAGGGAAGAACAUAUGUGUAAGUAACUGUGCGCAUCUUGACGGUAACUAAUCAGAAAGCCACGGCUAAAUACGUG
RNAcentral lists this ribosomal RNA (497 nucleotides) under uncultured bacterium. RNAcentral's name for it is "partial 16S ribosomal RNA". It matches the Rfam family "Bacterial small subunit ribosomal RNA", at positions 28 to 507 of the family's 1533-position model. The record is from RNAcentral.